AUCUGGGAGGGGCUGUCAGGAGU
Molecule: microRNA, 23 nt
Filed under: Mus musculus (house mouse)
Lineage: Eukaryota; Metazoa; Chordata; Mammalia; Rodentia; Muridae
Description: mmu-miR-7019-5p
Source: miRBase by way of RNAcentral